Molecule: long non-coding RNA, 2099 nt
Organism: Oncorhynchus keta (chum salmon)
Lineage: Eukaryota; Metazoa; Chordata; Actinopteri; Salmoniformes; Salmonidae
Exons: 4
Source: RefSeq, a predicted model, not a curated record
CAUGUGUCUUCUCAGUCAUGUUGACACUGGUCUACUACCAGGUCAUGUGUCUUCUCAGUCAUGUUGACACUGGUCCACUACCAGGUCAUGUGUCUCCUCAGUCAUGUUGACACUGGUCUACUACCAGGUCAUGUGUCUUCUCAGUCAUGUUGACACUGGUCUACUACCAGGUCAUGUGUCUUCUCAGUCAUGUUGACACUGGUCUACUACCAGGUCAUGUCUCUUCUCAGUCAUGUUGACACUGGUCUACUACCAGGUCAUGUGUCUUCUCAGUCAUGUUGACACUGGUCUACUACCAGGUCAUGUGUCUUCUCAGUCAUGUUGACACUGGUCUACUACCAGGUCAUGUGUCUUCUCAGUCAUGUUGACACUGGUCUACUACCAGGUCAUGUGUCUUCUCAGUCAUGUUGACACUGGUCUACUACCAGGUCAUGUGUCUUCUCAGUCAUGUUGACACUGGUCUACUACCAGGUCAUGUGUCUUCUCAGUCAUGUUGACACUGGUCUACUACCACGUCAUGUGUCUUCUCAGUCAUGUUGACACUGGUCUACUACCAGGUCAUGUGUCUUCUCAGUCAUGUUGACACUGGUCCACUACCAGGUCAUGUGUCUUCUCAGUCAUGUUGACACUGGUCUACUACCAGGUCAUGUGUCUUCUCAGUCAUGUUGACACUGGUCUACUACCAGGUCAUGUGUCUUCUCAGUCAUGUUGACACUGGUCCACUACCAGGUCAUGUGUCUUCUCAGUCAUGUUGACACUGGUCUACUACCAGGUCAUGUGUCUUCUCAGUCAUGUUGACACUGGUCUACUACCAGGUCAUGUGUCUUCUCAGUCAUGUUGACACUGGUCCACUACCAGGUCAUGUGUCUUCUCAGUCAUGUUGACACUGGUCUACUACCAGGUCAUGUGUCUUCUCAGUCAUGUUGACACUGGUCCACUACCAGGUCAUGUGUCUUCUCAGUCAUGUUGACACUGGUCCACUACCAGGUCAUGUGUCUUCUCAGUCAUGUUGACACUGGUCUACUACCAGGUCAUGUGUCCUCUCAGUCAUGUUGACACUGGUCUACUACCAGGUCAUGUGUCCUCUCAGUCAUGUUGACACUGGUCUACUACCAGGUCAUGUGUCUUCUCAGUCAUGUUGACACUGGUCUACUACCAGGUCAUGUGUCUUCUCAGUCAUGUUGACACUGGUCUACUACCAGGUCAUGUGUCUUCUCAGUCAUGUUGACACUGGUCCACUACCAGGUCAUGUGUCUUCUCAGUCAUGUUGACACUGGUCCACUACCAGGUCAUGUGUCUCCUCAGUCAUGUUGACACUGGUCUACUACCAGGUCAUGUGUCUUCUCAGUCAUGUUGACACUGGUCCACUACCAGGUCAUGUGUCUUCUCAGUCAUGUUGACACUGGUCUACUACCAGGUCAUGUGUCUUCUCAGUCAUGUUGACACUGGUCUACUACCAGGUCAUGUGUCUUCUCAGUCAUGUUGACACUGGUCUACUACCAGGUCAUGUGUCUUCUCAGUCAUGUUGACACUGGUCCACUACCAGGUCAUGUGUCUUCUCAGUCAUGUUGACACUGGUCUACUACCAGGUCAUGUGUCUUCUCAGUCAUGUUGACACUGGUCUACUACCAGGUCAUGUGUCCUCUCAGUCAUGUUGACACUGGUCUACUACCAGGUCAUGUGUCUUCUCAGUCAUGUUGACACUGGUCUACUACCACGUCAUGUGUCUUCUCAGUCAUGUUGACACUGGUCUACUACCAGGUCAUGUGUCUUCUCAGUCAUGUUGACACUGGUCUACUACCAGGUCAUGUGUCUUCUCAGUCAUGUUGACACUGGUCUACUACCAGGUCAUGUGUCUUCUCAGUCAUGUUGACACUGGUCUACUACCAGGUCAUGUGUCUUCUCAGUCAUGUUGACACUGGUCUACUACCAGGUCAAUGUGUCUUCUCAGUCAUGUUGACACUGGUCUACUACCAGGUCAUGUGUCUUCUCAGUCAUGUUGACACUGGUCUACUACCAGGUCAUGUGUCUUCUCAGUCAUGUUGACACUGGUCUACUACCAGGUCAUGUGUCUUCUCAGUCAUGUUGACACUGGUCUA